RNAcentral lists this transfer RNA (87 nucleotides) under Robiginitomaculum sp. Its description in RNAcentral is "tRNA-Leu". It matches the Rfam family "tRNA". From Rfam's summary of the family: Transfer RNA (tRNA) molecules are approximately 80 nucleotides in length. Their secondary structure includes four short double-helical elements and three loops (D, anti-codon, and T loops). Lineage: Bacteria; Pseudomonadati; Pseudomonadota; Alphaproteobacteria; Maricaulales; Robiginitomaculaceae. The record is from RNAcentral.
GCCCUGGUGGCGGAAUUGGUAGACGCGCUGGCUUCAGGUGCCAGUGACCGCAAGGUCGUGGAAGUUCGAGUCUUCUCCAGGGCACCA